RNAcentral lists this long non-coding RNA (3090 nucleotides) under Sus scrofa (pig). RNAcentral's name for it is "lncRNA (ENSSSCG00000052225.1)". The record is from RNAcentral. Lineage: Eukaryota; Metazoa; Chordata; Mammalia; Artiodactyla; Suidae.
UGUGUAUAGCAUUCUAUAAAGUUUAAUCAAGUGAAGUUGCUUAAUCUAUAUCCUUUAUGUUCUUUUUAUGUUCUGAGUGUUUCCUACUUUUUUAAUCAAUUACUGAAAGAGGAGGGGUGAAGUCUCCAAAUAUAGUUGUGAAUUCUUCUAUUUUUCCAUUAAGCUCUGGCACUUUCAUAUGUCUUACCUUCAUAUGUCUUACAGCUCUGUUAUUAGUUGCACACAUACUUAAGAUUAUGUCUUCUUGAUUGACUGACGUAUUUAUAAUUAUAAAAUGCCCCUCUUCUAAUAAUCCUCUCCAUCUUGAAAUCUACUUUGUCUGAUGUUAAUAGAGUGGAGCCAGCUUUUUUAUGAUUAGUGUUUGCAUGAUGAAUUUUUUCUGUACUUUUCCUUUCAAUCUGCUGAUGUAUUUAUAGGUAAAGUGACUCUCUUGUGAACAGCAUAUAACUGGGUCUUUAUUUUUUCAAUAUGACCAUCUUUGCUCUUUAAUUUGAGUAUUUCUUGCAUUUGCAUAUAAUGUCAUUACUGACAUGAUUGGAUUAAAUCUGUUAUCUCACUAUCUAUUUUUAUGUGUUCUCUACUCAUUUUUUCUUUUCUGGCAUUAUUUUAUGUUAACUAAAAUGCUUGUAUUCCAUUUUUUCUCUUCUAAUAGCUUACUAUGCUUAUUUGUUUGCUUGUAUCCAUACCGAGGGGUUAUUCUGGGGUUUAUAACCGUUUAACUCAUCCAGACAAUGUUCAAAUAAUAUUAUGUCUUUCUGGUACAAGUAAGGAGGCCACAUCUCCCUGUCCAGUGGGCCUCCAGGAGCUCAGGCAAUCCUCCAGUGCACCAAGUGCUGGAAAUGGGCUUAGCAGCUUCUUCCAGUUCUUCUCCUUAGAGGCAGGAGCUCACAGGAGAGCCCUUCAGCUCCUGCUGCUUGAGAAGAACAGCAGACAGAGACAGACACAUUGCUGAGUUGUCUCCAAAGCACAAAAGGUUCUCAGGCACAACACAUUACAUAAACAGAAAAUGUUACCGUGUUCUCCCUGUGGCCAACUCUUGGUUUGCAGAAAAGGUGAAGGAUAAAACAUACUUGCAGAUCUUAAGUCUCAAAAAAGUGUGUGACAAAAAGAGGAAAGAGGGACCAUUAUUUGAAAAUUAGAUUAUGCUCUAUUGUCUCCAAAGGUUGUAGGCCACACUCAGAAAAAAGAGACCAAGGAGAGAUGCUCUAGGGUAAAACACAGGCCUCUCUGUUUCAGCUAUUUUCUCCAAUGUCCAGUAACAACACAACCCUAGUGUGUGAAUUUGUUUUAGUUCUUUGAGCUGCUGCUUCUGCCAAGAAACUCCUUGCGGCCUCUUUGUCCUGCUUGUUGUUCCAAUGGCCAUUUCCACAUAAAGAAUUGAGAGCCCAUCCCUGGAUGUUUAUUAUUGUCAAACUCUUUCAUGUCCUUCUGAGCUGUGAUGCAUGUGUGCAGGACAGACACAGGAGAUGGCUGUUCUAGCCCAAGAAAAGCCUUAGCACAAAGGCCUUGGACCUGCAACUUUGUAGUAAAGCUCACCACGUCCCUUUCUUCACCCCCUUUUUCUCAUUUCACUGAGUUUCUUUUUCACGGACUGUUUAGAACCAGUCAUGUGACACAGGAUGGAUGUUACAAAGUUAGGGACAAAAGAUGGAGCUGGGAAAUAGGACCAAAGAGAAGUCAGAUAAUCACAUGACCUGACAACACAGAGCUGACUGGUUUGCACCGUGGCUAGAUGGCUGUCUGGAUCCAUUCAGGUUGCUAUACCAACAUUCCAUGGAUGGACUGGGUGGCUUAGGAAACACAGACUUUUAUUUCUUACAGUUACAGAGGCUCGAAGUCCAAGGUUAGGGGGCCAGCAUGUUCAGGUGAGGGCUUUCCUCCAAGUCGCACACUUCCUGUAUCCUCACGGGGCAGAAGGGUGAGAGAAGCUUCUUUUAUAAGGCACUAAUCUCGUUAAUCAUCUCCCAAACCUCCUAAUACCCCACUUCCCAAUACCAUCACCUUGAGCAUUAGAUUUUCAACAUAUGAGUUUGGGGAGAACACAAACAUUCAGACCAUAGCAGUAGCAAUCACUUAAAAAUGGGCUAUUUCGCUACACACAUUACACACACACACACACAAAGUACCAGAAUUUAGAAUCAUCUGACUUAAAGCCAAGUCUCAGAUUUACCACUUAUCAGUUCUGAACAAGUCUUUUCAAAUCCCAAACUGCAAUUUCUUCAUCCAUAAAUAGGGAUAACAAUGACACCUGACCCACUCAUCCCCCAAGGAUAUUGCAAGAAUGACAUUAUGUGGGAAAAAAGUUGCUGUUGUAUGCCAUCAUGUUUUUUUCACUACUAAUCACAAAGGACUUUUAACUGAAGACUUUCUCUUAUUCAUUCAUUCAACAACCAUUUAUCACUCAGUACUGGCCUACCAUGUGCUAGACAUUCCCACUUCUCCUUUACAAUUAUCUUUUUAGUUAUCCAGAUUCCAUCCAGGGUGAUUUCUUACUUGUAAAUGAGGAUUUUAUUGCUUCUAUAUCUUGUACAUAAUUUUGUAUAUAAACUUUUAUAUAACAAAAUGAUAUAUAGAAAUUACACACACGCAGAAAUAGAAGACCAUGUCAACAUUACUGAGAAAGGUGCCAAUCAAUCCAAGAUAAAAAUUUAAAUUUUGUGAGAAUAACAAUGACUUACCCAGAAAAAUACUGGGCUGAAGUAUUUUAGAAAAAGUAAUCUCAUAGUUGUUUCUAACAAUGUCACAAUUUGUGCCCUGAAAAGGAAAAAAAUAUUUCUGAAACCUUUAUCAUUAUCAUCUUAUCAGAGCUUCCAAACCAGCAUAAUCCAUUGUCUUCCUGACCUUCCACAUUCUGAAAUACUUCACAGUUUAAGGAUCUUGAUCCUCUGAAUGUUUUAUCUUGCUACUCUUGUCAGUUUUCUCCGUCACAAGAUGGUCUGUUGUACUAAGUCAGUAUCUAAACCCAAGAAGAUGAAAACGAUAGGCCAGAACCAGGACUAAAGCUCUGUGUUUCUGCUCUGCUUUCUCCUGAGCUUUACUUUAUUUCUGUCAUUUAAAAGACCUGUGGGUACCUUGCCGAAAAUGCUUCAU